GACGAACGCUGGCGGCGUGCCUAAUACAUGCAAGUUGAGCGCUGAAGGUUGGUACUUGUACCGACUGGAUGAGCAGCGAACGGGUGAGUAACGCGUGGGGAAUCUGCCUUUGAGCGGGGGACAACAUCUGGAAACGAAUGCUAAUACCGCAUAAAAACUUUAAACACAAGUUUUAAGAUUGAAAGAUGCACUUGCAUCACCCAAAGAUGAUCCCGCGGUUUAUUAGCUAGUUGGUGAGGUUAAGGCCCACCAAGGCGAAGGUACAUAGGCGGACUGGGAGGGUGGUCCGCCACAAUGGGACUUGGGACCCGCCCAAGCUCCUUCGGGGAGCCGCCGUAGGGGAACUUCGGCAAUUGGCGGAAGUCUUACCGGGGAACGCCGCGUGGGGGAAGGAGGGUUUCGGGUCGUUAAACCCCGUUGAUUGGGAAGGAAGAUGUGGGGAAUGAAAAGCGCAUCAAGUGACGGUAACUACCCAGAAAGCCACGGCUAACUACGUG
This 497-nucleotide ribosomal RNA is filed under the name uncultured bacterium. RNAcentral's name for it is "partial 16S ribosomal RNA". It matches the Rfam family "Bacterial small subunit ribosomal RNA", at positions 28 to 507 of the family's 1533-position model. The record is from RNAcentral.